This 1002-nucleotide long non-coding RNA is filed under the name Felis catus (domestic cat). Its description in RNAcentral is "lncRNA (ENSFCAG00000050949.1)". The record is from RNAcentral. Lineage: Eukaryota; Metazoa; Chordata; Mammalia; Carnivora; Felidae.
GUUAGAGUUGCCUGAGAUUAAUACACUCACUCGUUCGAUUACACGUUUAGGGGGUGACCAUCCACUUAGACCAGUAAGUGCUGCUCCAGUCACAUGGCCGCCACACGGCACAGCGCCAGACCAUCUGGAAGGCCAGGAGCCAUGCACGCGGGCCACACUGGCUCUUGGAAGGCAGAUGUCCCCGAUACCUGAGAAGAGGGGCUCCUUUCCACAGGUGCAGAUCCAGGAGGAGGGACAACAGGGAAGAAGCGGGGGUUGGGCAGACCUGGAGGGCAGCCACUUCCAGAACAUGGCAGCCAGAGCACAGGGCCAGACCCGAAAGGACAGGGCGUGAACUCUGCCUCCUCCCUCCCUCCCCUCCCUCCCCCUCCGUCCUCCUCCCUCUUCCUCCCUCCUCCUCCCUCCUCCUCCCUCCUCCCUCCUCACUCUUCCUUCCUCCUCCCUCCUCUUUCAUCCCCCUCCUUCCUCCCUCCUCCUCCCCCUCCUACCUCCUCCCCCCUCUCUUCCCUUUCUCCUCCUCCUCCCUCCCCAUCCUCCUCCUUCCUCCCUUCUUCCUCCCUCCCCCCUCUUCCUCCCUCCCCCUCCCUCCUCCUCCUCCCUCCUCCUCCCUCCUCCCUCCUCCUCCUCCUCCCUCCCUCCCUCCUCCUCCUCCUCCUCCUCUCCUCCCUCCUCCUACCUCCUCCCCCCUCUCUUCCCUUUCUCCUCCUCCUCCUCCUCCUCCCUCCUCCUCCUCCUCCCUCCUCCUCCCUCUCUCCCUCCCUCCUCCUCUCCUCCCUCCUCCUACCUCCUCCCCUUCUUUCUUCCCUUUCUCCUCCUCCUUCCUCCCCCUCCUCCCCCCUCCCUCCUCCUCCUCCUCCCUUUCUUUUUUUCCUGGGUACUUGUUCUGAGUUAGGAAGGCAAGGGGAGAGAAAAACUCACAACCUAACAGUCAGGGGCCCUGGAAACAGCUUGGCGAGGAGCUGCAGCCCCUCCUGGGCCCGGCCAUACCCCUGUCCUACCUUA